Molecule: long non-coding RNA, 740 nt
Organism: Diorhabda sublineata
Lineage: Eukaryota; Metazoa; Arthropoda; Insecta; Coleoptera; Chrysomelidae
Exons: 3
Source: RefSeq, a predicted model, not a curated record
GUAAUAUUUUCAUCCAAGGUCAUAUACAAAAAAUAUUUAAUAUACACAUAAUAAUAUGAUAAAUAUAAAACAAUAUCAUAUAAUAACUAAUAAAAUAAUGAUCAAUAUCAUUUGUAUUGAUUUUUAUCACAGAAAAGCCAGAUAUAUUUUUGUAAAUUAAAAACGCAAAAAAAUACAUAAAAACCUGUUUAAGACAGUUGACGUUAGUAGAUUAUUCAUUUCCUGUUGGAUACCGCAGAAAUCUCUAGUAAUAACUAUUUUGGAGGACUAUAGUCUGAAUUUUAGUUUGUUAGAAGAAAGAAUCAUUCAGAAUGACCUCCACGAACAUAAAUGUUGGAUUAAGUGAUUCUACAAGGAAUUCUAGUAGAGUAUUGAGACCUCCGGGUGGUGGACACACGAAUAUUUUUGAUAAUGAGAAGAACGAGACUAAAACUACUAGGAAAGAUCAUGGCAGAAAUGCUUCAUCAAUUCUUGAAGGAACUAAUACAGACAUCACACAAACAAGUCCAGUGAAGACUGUUCUUCCUUCUUCACAGCCUGAAAUAAGUAAAGAACCAGCAUCUUCUGUCCAACAGAAAGGAAGAGUCCCUCCAGGAGGAUUUUCAUCAAAGCUUUGGUGAAUGAAUGCAUGUUAUAUAUUUGGAAUUUCGCCUAUUGGAAACUAUGAUAUAGUACUUAUAUUUUCAUGUAAUUUUUCACUUUUGACAAUUUUUAAAUAAAAUUUUUUUGAGCUAAUUAAA